This 1300-nucleotide ribosomal RNA is filed under the name uncultured bacterium. Its description in RNAcentral is "bacterial SSU rRNA". It matches the Rfam family "Bacterial small subunit ribosomal RNA", at positions 93 to 1399 of the family's 1533-position model. The record is from RNAcentral.
UAGUGGCGGACGGGUGAGUAACGCGUGGGUAACCUGCCCAUAGGUGGGGAAUAACAGUUGGAAACGACUGCUAAUACCGCAUAAGCUGAGCAAUCAGUAAAGGAGGCUAACGCUUCCGCUUAUGGAUGGGCCCGCGUCUGAUUAGCUAGUUGGUGGGGUAAUGGCCUACCAAGGCAACGAUCAGUAGCCGGCCUGAGAGGGUGGACGGCCACACUGGGACUGAGACACGGCCCAGACUCCUACGGGAGGCAGCAGUGGGGAAUAUUGCGCAAUGGGGGAAACCCUGACGCAGCGACGCCGCGUGAGCGAAGAAGGCCUUAGGGUCGUAAAGCUCUGUUUUAAGGGACGAAUAUCCUCAGUAGUAACUGACUGGGGAAUGACGGUACCUUAAGAGAAAGCCCCGGCUAACUACGUGCCAGCAGCCGCGGUAAGACGUAGGGGGCGAGCGUUGUCCGGAAUUACUGGGCGUAAAGAGCACGUAGGCGGGAUUUUAAGUCAGGUGUGAAAGACCGUGGCUCAACCACGGGGUUGCACAUGAAACUGGAAUUCUUGAGGGCAGGGGAGGAAAGUGGAAUUCCUGGUGUAGCGGUGAAAUGCGUAGAAAUCAGGAGGAACACCGGUGGCGAAGGCGACUUUCUGGACUGACCCUGACGCUGAGGUGCGAAAGCGUGGGUAGCAAACAGGAUUAGAUACCCUGGUAGUCCACGCUGUAAACGAUGGAUACUAGGUGUGGGAGGUAUCGACCCCUUCCGUGCCGCAGCAAACGCAAUAAGUAUCCCGCCCUGGGGAGUACCGUCGCAGGGCUGAACUCAAAAGAAUUGACGGGGGCCGCACCAGCCGUGGGGCAUGUGGUUUAAUUGAUGCCACGCGAAGACCUUUACAGGUCUUGACAUCCAAGAAUCUUGAUGAAAGUCGGGAGUGCCUUAGGAGCUUUGAGACAGGUGGUGCAUGGUGUCGUCAGCUCGUGUCGUGAGAUGUUGGGUUAAGUCCCGCAACGAGCGCAACCCUUGCUAUUAGUUGCUAACAUUGAGUUGAGCACUCUAAUGGGACUGCCCGUGACAAGCGGGAGGAAGGUGGGGAUGACGUCAAAUCAUCAUGCCCUUUAUGAUCUGGGCUACACACGUGCUACAAUGGAUGGUACAGAGAGCAGCGAGACAGUGAUGUGGAGCGAAUCUCAAAAAGCCAUUCUCAGUUCGGAUUGCAGGCUGCAACUCGCCUGCAUGAAGUCGGAAUCGCUAGUAAUCGCGGAUCAGCAUGUCGCGGUGAAUGCGUUCCCGGGCCUUGUACACACCGCCCGUCA